GGGUACCGUCAGGCCUGCCGCGUAUUAGACGACAGGAGGUUCUUCCCUCUGACAGAGCUUUACGACCCGAGAGCCUUCAUCACUCACGCGGUAUUGCUGCGUCAGGCUUUCGCCCAUUGCGCAAAAUUCCCCA
RNAcentral lists this ribosomal RNA (133 nucleotides) under uncultured bacterium. Its description in RNAcentral is "partial 16S ribosomal RNA". The record is from RNAcentral.